This 450-nucleotide ribosomal RNA is filed under the name uncultured bacterium. RNAcentral's name for it is "bacterial SSU rRNA". It matches the Rfam family "Bacterial small subunit ribosomal RNA", at positions 354 to 796 of the family's 1533-position model. The record is from RNAcentral.
GUGGGGAAUAUUGGACAAUGGGCGAAAGCCUGAUCCAGCCAUGCCGCGUGUGUGAAGAAGGUCUUCGGAUUGUAAAGCACUUUAAGUUGGGAGGAAGGGCAGUAAGUUAAUACCUUGCUGUUUUGACGUUACCGACAGAAUAAGCACCGGCUAACUUCGUGCCAGCAGCCGCGGUAAUACGAAGGGUGCAAGCGUUAAUCGGAAUUACUGGGCGUAAAGCGCGCGUAGGUGGUUUUGUAAGUUAGGAGUGAAAGCCCAGGGCUCAACCUUGGAAUUGCUCUUAAAACUGCAAGGCUCGAAUCUCGGAGAGGAUAGCGGAAUUUCCAGUGUAGCAGUGAAAUGCGUAGAUAUUGGAAGGAACACCAGUGGCGUAAGCGGCUAUCUGGACGAGUAUUGACGCUGAGGCACGAAAGCGUGGGGAUCAAACAGGAUUAGAAACCCGAGUAGUCC